Molecule: long non-coding RNA, 865 nt
Filed under: Brachypodium distachyon (stiff brome)
Lineage: Eukaryota; Viridiplantae; Streptophyta; Magnoliopsida; Poales; Poaceae
Description: long non-coding RNA (BDIS_LNC001046)
Source: RNAcentral
CAGGCUUUGGUUCGGGUUUGGGUUCUGGUUUAGGCAUCGGUUCAGGCUUGGGCUCGGGUUUUGGUUCAGGUUUAGGCAUGGGCUUAGGCAUGGGCUCAGGCUUUGGUUCUGGUUUAGGCAUUGGCUUAGGCUUGGGUUCGGGUUUUGGCUCUGGUUUGGGCAUUGGCUCAGGCUUGGGUUCUGGUUUAGGCAUGGGCUCAGGCUUUGGUUCCGGUUUAAUUGGCUCAGGCUUCGGUUCCGGCUUAGGCAUUGGCUCGGGCUUGGGCUCAGGUUUUGGCUCAGGUUUAGGCAUUGGCUCGGGUUUGGGCUCAGGUUUAGGCUCAGGUUUAGGCACUGGCUCAGGCUUAGGCUCGGGUUUAGGCUCAGGUUUAGGCACUGGCUUAGGCAUGGGCUCGGGUUUUGGUUCCGGUUUAGGCAUUGGCUCAGGUUUGGGCUCGGGUUUAGGCUCGGGUUUAGGCAUUGGCUUAGGCAUGGGCUCGGGUUUUGGUUCCGGUUUGGGCAUGGGCUCUGGUUUUGGCUCGGGUUUUGGCAUUGGCUUAGGCAUGGGCUCUGGUUUUGGUUCCGGUUUAGGCAUCGGCUCAGGUUUCGGCUCUGGUUUAGGCAUUGGUUUGGGCAUUGGUUCCGGCUUGGGCUCUGGCUUCGGCUCGGGCUUGGGCAUGGGUUCAGGUUUGGGCUCAGGUUUCGGUCCCGGUUUGGGCAUUGGUUCUGGCUUCGGCUCAGGUUUCGGUUCAGGUUUAGGCAUGGGUUCAGGUUUCGGUUCAGGUUUUGGCUCUGGUUUUGGCAUGGGCUUGGGCUCCGGUUUUGGCAUGGGUUUUGGUUCCGGCUUUGGCUCUGGCUGCGGCAUAGGCUUAGGCUCCGGCUCGAC